This 71-nucleotide transfer RNA is filed under the name Leiolepis reevesii (Reeves' butterfly lizard). Its description in RNAcentral is "tRNA-His". The record is from RNAcentral. Lineage: Eukaryota; Metazoa; Chordata; Lepidosauria; Squamata; Agamidae.
GUCAGAAUAGUUCAAAAAAAUGCCAGGUCGUGACCCUGGAGGUAGAAGAAACCCCAACCCUUCUUUCUGGC